RNAcentral lists this unclassified non-coding RNA (377 nucleotides) under uncultured Actinomycetes bacterium. RNAcentral's name for it is "uncultured actinobacterium contains 16S-23S intergenic spacer region". Lineage: Bacteria; Bacillati; Actinomycetota; Actinomycetes. The record is from RNAcentral.
UCCGGUUUGUCACCGGCAGUCUGAAGUGAGUCCCCAACUUAAUGCUGGCAACACUUCACGGGGGUUGCGCUCGUUGCGGGACUUAACCCAACAUCUCACGACACGAGCUGACGACAACCAUGCACCACCUGUCCACCAGCCCCGAAGGGAAACCCCAUCUCUGGGGCGGUCCGGUGAAUGUCAAGCCCAGGUAAGGUUCUUCGCGUUGCGUCGAAUUAAACCACAUGCUCCGCUGCUUGUGCGGGCCCCCGUCAAUUCCUUUGAGUUUUAGCCUUGCGGCCGUACUCCCCAGGCGGGGCGCUUAAUGCGUUAGCUGCGGCACGGAAUCCGUGGAAUGGACCCCACACCUAGCGCCCAACGUUUACGGCAUGGACUAC